GCCCCUGUAGCUCAGCCGGAUAGAGCAGCGGCCUUCUAAGCCGACGGUCGGGGGUUCGAAUCCUCCCAGGGGCGCCA
RNAcentral lists this transfer RNA (77 nucleotides) under Myxococcales bacterium. Its description in RNAcentral is "tRNA-Arg". It matches the Rfam family "tRNA". From Rfam's summary of the family: Transfer RNA (tRNA) molecules are approximately 80 nucleotides in length. Their secondary structure includes four short double-helical elements and three loops (D, anti-codon, and T loops). The record is from RNAcentral. Lineage: Bacteria; Pseudomonadati; Myxococcota; Myxococcia; Myxococcales.